This 301-nucleotide ribosomal RNA is filed under the name uncultured bacterium. Its description in RNAcentral is "partial 16S ribosomal RNA". It matches the Rfam family "Bacterial small subunit ribosomal RNA", at positions 509 to 807 of the family's 1533-position model. The record is from RNAcentral.
CAGCAGCCACGGUAAUACAGAGGAUGCAAGCGUUGUCCGGAAUUAUUGGGCGUAAAGGGCUCGCAGGCGGUUUCUUAAGUCUGAUGUGGAAGCCCCCGGCUCAACCGGGGAGGGUCAUUGGAAACUGGGAAACUUGAGUGCAGAAGAGGAGAGUGGAAUUCCACGUGUAGCGGUGAAAUGCGUAGAGAUGUGGAGGAACACCAGUGGCGAAGGCGACUCUCUGGUCUGUAACUGACGCUGAGGAGCGAAAGCGUGGGGAGCGAACAGGAUUAGAUACCCCUGUAGUCCCUGUCUCUUAUAC